RNAcentral lists this ribosomal RNA (287 nucleotides) under uncultured prokaryote. RNAcentral's name for it is "partial 16S ribosomal RNA". It matches the Rfam family "Bacterial small subunit ribosomal RNA", at positions 524 to 815 of the family's 1533-position model. The record is from RNAcentral.
UACGUAGGGGCUAGCGUUAUCCGGAAUUACUGGGCGUAAAGGGUGCGUAGGUGGUUUCUUAAGUCAGAGGUGAAAGGCUACGGCUCAACCGUAGUAAGCCUUUGAAACUGGGAAACUUGAGUGCAGGAGAGGAGAGUGGAAUUCCUAGUGUAGCGGUGAAAUGCGUAGAUAUCGGGAGGAACACCAGUGGUGAAGACGGCUUUCUGGUCUGUUGCUUACGCUGAGGAGCGAAAGCCAGGGGAGCGAACCGGAUUAGAUACCCGGGUAGUCCCUGAGCGGGCUGGCAA